This 380-nucleotide ribosomal RNA is filed under the name uncultured cyanobacterium. RNAcentral describes it as "bacterial SSU rRNA". It matches the Rfam family "Bacterial small subunit ribosomal RNA", at positions 376 to 770 of the family's 1533-position model. Lineage: Bacteria; Bacillati; Cyanobacteriota. The record is from RNAcentral.
CGAAAGCCUGACGGAGCAAGACCGCGUGAGGGAGGAAGGCUCUUGGGUUGUAAACCCCUUUUAUCUGGGAAGAACAAAAUGACGGUACCAGAUGAAUAAGCCUCGGCUAACUCCGUGCCAGCAACCGCGGUAAUACGGAGGAGGCAAGCGUUAUCCGGAAUGAUUGGGCGUAAAGCGUCCGCAGGUGGCAAUGUAAGUCUGCUGUCAAGACCCAGGGCUCAACUCUGGUCAGGCAGUGGAAACUACAUAGCUAGAGUUCGGUAGGGGCAAAGGGAAUUCCCGGUGUAGCGGUGAAAUGCGUAGAUUUCGGGAAGAACAUCGGUGGCGAAAGCGCUCUGCUGGGCCGCAACUGACACUCAGGGACGAAAGCUAGGAGAGCG